CAGCAGCCGCGGUAAUACCGGCGGCCCGAGUGGCGGUCACUCUUAUUGGGCUUAAAGCGUCCGUAGCCGGGUUGGGAAGUCCUCCGGGAAAUCUGGCCGCUUAACGGUCAGAAUGCCGGAGGAUACUCCCAGCCUAGGGAGCGGGAGAGGCCGAGGGGAUUCCCGGGGUAGGGGUGGAAUCCUAUAAUCCCGGGAGGCCCACCAGUGGCGAAGGCGCUCGGCUGGAACGCGUCCGACGGGGAGGGGCGAAGGCCAGGGGAGCAAACCGGAUUAGAUACCCGGGUAGUCCCGGCUGUAAACGAUGCGGGCUUUGUGUCGGGCAAGCUAUGAGCUCACCCGGUGCCGCAGGGAAGCCGUUAAGCCCGCCGCCUGGGGAGUACGGCCGCAAGGCUGAAACUUAAAGGAAUUGGCGGG
RNAcentral lists this ribosomal RNA (414 nucleotides) under uncultured microorganism. RNAcentral describes it as "bacterial SSU rRNA". It matches the Rfam family "Archaeal small subunit ribosomal RNA", at positions 459 to 872 of the family's 1478-position model. The record is from RNAcentral.